RNAcentral lists this unclassified non-coding RNA (828 nucleotides) under Hevea brasiliensis (rubber tree). Lineage: Eukaryota; Viridiplantae; Streptophyta; Magnoliopsida; Malpighiales; Euphorbiaceae. The record is from RNAcentral.
CCAGCCACAGAGCAUGUAGAAAAGGGUUGUCACUGAAACACUUAUUAAAGAUGCUUUCUUCAUUGUCUUGGCUUCUGAUGGUGGGGAUUUGACAGUGUCCUGAAUUUCGAUGAGAAUAAUGGAGAAAGAAUAGGCAAAGGCAAUGUCGCCAAGUGCUUGGAAGCUCCUCCAUAUCUUCUGGGUUUCAGUCACGGUGCCGAUGCUUAUUCCAGUUAGACUUCCCUGAAUAGUUCCAGUUUCUGCAACUUUAGCAAUUCCAAGUCCAAGACCAAUUGACGAGUAAGUGAAGGACAUGACUGCAGCAACUAUGGAAAGCCACCACAGCUUUUCAAAGUCAGGAAUUUGGGAGAAAAUAAUUUCCGCAAUUCCGAAUGCGAUCAUGUAAGGAUUGGCAUUCAUAUGGCAUGGAUCUUUGCCUCCAGUCUUGUGGAAACAAUUCGACCUUUUGACAGCCAUCAUGCUUAUAGAAGAUGCUAUUGUGUAACCUAUGGCGACUCCGAAAAGGUUCAGGUACUGAACAUAUCCGCAUAUCUUAAACAUACCACCACCAAGAUUGGAGCGAACAGCGUCCGUGUAAGUAUAGUUCCUCUUGCCAUUGACAGGAUCCCCAGUUCGGUAGCAGACAGCGAGCAGAGAAGAAGUAUAGUAAGUGACCAAAGAGAACAAGAACAUAACAGCAGGACCGGCAAUCCAUCCAAGCUGAGCUACCGCCCAAGCCAAGGACAGAACACCAGACCCAAUCACAGCUGUUAUAAUGUGAGCGCUCGCAGUCCAAACAGUUCCAGUGCGCCUGACGCGUCCAUCAUCAUCAAACCACUUGGAGCCACC